This is a long non-coding RNA of Hyla sarda, 595 nucleotides long. RefSeq lists it as uncharacterized. The transcript is spliced from 4 exons. The record is from RefSeq and is a predicted model, not a curated record. NCBI's taxonomy places the organism in Eukaryota, Metazoa, Chordata, Amphibia, Anura, Hylidae.
CUCGAGGGAAGAUACAGAUCCGGUGGAGCGACACUUUGAGCUGUCUGAGGCUACCCAUUAUUGCCCAAAAUUAGGGGCUUGAUCAACCCCACGAGAACACGGUCUAAACGUCGGACAGAUUUCAGGUGGCCAAACAACCCUUGGGGAAGGAGAUGAAUCUGAUUUUGUUGAAGGUACAAAUAAUGAAGGUUGACAAGUCCAUCAAAUACCGAUAUGUCUAAGCGCUGGAUGUCAUUAUGGUUUAGGUGCAAUGUGGCAAGUAGCUGGGCAGCAAAGGACCCUUUCUUGAAGAAGCAACAUAAAGACGUAGCCACACAGACACAAGCGGAGUGGAAUGAGAAAGCUCUCACAUCUAUGCACGUCCCUUUGUUUGCUGCUCAUAAUUGUUCUGGCUAGCAAAAUGAAAACAAACAGUCAGGAAUUAAGAACACAUUUUGCUGAACAAGAUCUUCUACAAUUAACCGUAAGGUAUAUAAUUAAAAGUGGAAGCAUUUAGGAACCACAAAAACUCGAGUUGGGUAAGUUUAAUGUGGAACGACUUGACUAGUCCCCGAACAGAAGCCUCAUCCCAAUCCAACACCUUUGGAAGGAACUA